AACGCUAGCUACAGGCUUAACACAUGCAAGUCGAGGGGAAACGACNUCGAAAGCUUGCUUUUGAUGGGCGUCGACCGGCGCACGGGUGAGUAACGCGUAUCCAACCUGCCCACCACUUGGGGAUAACCUUGCGAAAGUAAGACUAAUACCCAAUGAUAUCUCUAGAAGACAUCUGAAAGGGAUUAAAGAUUUAUCGGUGAUGGAUGGGGAUGCGUCUGAUUAGCUUGUUGGCGGGGUAACGGCCCACCAAGGCAACGAUCAGUAGGGGUUCUGAGAGGAAGGUCCCCCACAUUGGAACUGAGACACGGUCCAAACUCCUACGGGAGGCAGCAGUGAGGAAUAUUGGUCAAUGGGCGAGAGCCUGAACCAGCCAAGUAGCGUGCAGGAAGACGGCCCUAUGGGUUGUAAACUGCUUUUAUAAGGGAAUAAAGUGAGAGUCGUGACUCUUCUUGCAUGUACCUUAUGAAUAAGGACCGGCUAAUUCCGUGCCAGCAGCCGCGGUAAUACGGAAGGUCCGGGCGUUAUCCGGAUUUAUUGGGUUUAAAGGGAGCGUAGGCCGGAAAAUUAAGCGUGUUGUGAAAUGUANAUGCUCAACAUCUGAACUGCAGCGCGAACUGGUUUNCUNGAGUACNCANAAGUGGGGCGGNAAUNCNUGGGGUUAACCGGUGAAAUGCUUNAAUUUCACGAAGAACUCCGAUUG
RNAcentral lists this ribosomal RNA (700 nucleotides) under uncultured bacterium. RNAcentral describes it as "bacterial SSU rRNA". It matches the Rfam family "Bacterial small subunit ribosomal RNA", at positions 32 to 715 of the family's 1533-position model. The record is from RNAcentral.